Molecule: long non-coding RNA, 671 nt
Organism: Xiphophorus hellerii (green swordtail)
Lineage: Eukaryota; Metazoa; Chordata; Actinopteri; Cyprinodontiformes; Poeciliidae
Exons: 2
Source: RefSeq, a predicted model, not a curated record
GUCUGUAUGGGGAAAACAGAGUAUCAUCAGUCAGAGGCUUCUUCAGGUUUGCUGCAACACAGACAGCUACAAAAGAUCUUUCCUGCUGACAGCAAUCAGUCAUCUGCAAUAACUCUUUGAAGAAUCUGAAUUAAUGAGCUGCAACUACAUUUCAUUUCCCUUUGGGAUCAAUAAAGUCAAAGCAUGUUUGGGUAAUUCUUGCACACUACUCAAAGUUUGAUAGAAAAAAAUAUUGAACAAUUGGAAGUUAUGGUGGAAACAUUUUUGUGGUUUCAAUGAAAUGAAACAAAAAAUGUAAAAAGAUAAUGAAGUUUCGCUUUUCCUGUGCAGUUUCACCUGUUUGCAGCUCGUUUUGCUGUUUGCUGCGCGUUUGCAGUUGUCGGCCACAGUUUCUGAUCAAGUCAUUAUCUCCUCAACCUUCACCAUCAUCUGUUACAACCAGUAGAUCAGUAGAUGGACAAAGUAACCUGCUGUGUCCCCCUGUUGCAUCAGGAAACUUCAUCUUGGGAUUUCCAGCAGGAUUUUCUGAGUCCCUUCAGUCCUCUGUGUCUUCUCUCUCCUGAUUGGUCCAGUGCUGCUGGUGAUGCUGGAGAAUCAUCACAUAAUAAUACACACAUUCCUUAAUCUCUGUCUAAAUAACAGAUGAUUAAAGUGAAUUCCUGAUCAAGUCA